RNAcentral lists this long non-coding RNA (1003 nucleotides) under Mus spicilegus (steppe mouse). RNAcentral describes it as "lncRNA (ENSMSIG00000022752.1)". Lineage: Eukaryota; Metazoa; Chordata; Mammalia; Rodentia; Muridae. The record is from RNAcentral.
AGGGAAUCCGGUCCCGUUCAAUAUCGUGGAUGAAUGUGGAGGGCAUUCUUAAGUAGUCAGCUAGUCACAGAGAGAGGAGCACACAGUGUACUUGUUACGUGUGGAAUCUGACGUAGUCAAAGUCUUAGGAGCUGAGCGUAGAGCGGUGGGCGCAGGCGCCUGUAGGGAGGAUGGCUGAAGAACUCUUGGCCAAAGAGUGCAGGACUUUAGUUAGACAUGAGUGACUUGAGUGGUAUUGGUCUGUCGUUUAUUUGACAGUUACCAGAACAGCGUAUGGUUUAGCACGAGUUGUAUCCUCCUCACGGAGCCCAGGGCUGCCAGGCUUACAUCCUUACCUUCCAGCUCCGAAGAGGAAGAGCGUCCCUUCUCCCAUCGAUUCCAAAAGCUCAGUUGCCAGAUGGAAUCACGCCCUGAACCAUUCCUGAAGGGAUGAAGCGGGAUUCAUGUGUAGAAGAGAAAGACCUGCAGUCACUUUUGAGUGAUUCCAGACAGGAGGGCAGAAGAAAAAAAGACCAGGCAGAAAUCAAGUUAGGAAAUGGCCUGCAUCUUCCACAGCUCAAGUUCCCAGGGAGAAGGCAACCAGCAGACUGUCUUAGUCAAGAGACGUUAAAGGAGAUAGAAUGAUGGCAAGCUACUACCACAGAAAGGAACCAUUCCUUACCUGUUUCUUUUGCCAGAGGUGAGCAAAUUUUCAAAUAGGAGGUGAGAACUGGCUUUAUGCAGUUCUAAUGAAGGAAUGUCUUUGCAGCAUCAAAACAAACACACACAUGAAGCCUAGUGAUUCUUCUAGGCUUCAUGUGCAAGUCACCUCAAGGAGACUCAGCCAGCUACAGGAGUAGAUCUGUGCUGAGUGGUAAGAGGGUGCCACAGGACUCCAGUGACUGGUGGGCAAUGGAUCUUAGCUGACAGUGGCAUUAUGGCCCUCUGUUAAUGGAAGGGAGCCAGGUAAGAAGGCCUGGCUACAGUACUACAGUACAACUCAUAGUGGCUUCAUGAUGUGUGU